UCAACAAUGAGAAUGUGAUUGUAACCAAGGUUUAUGAUUAAUCUAGUACCUCAUGACUCAAGUUCAUU
This 68-nucleotide small nucleolar RNA is filed under the name Vicugna pacos (alpaca). Its description in RNAcentral is "Small nucleolar RNA SNORD112 (ENSVPAG00000017906.1)". The record is from RNAcentral. Lineage: Eukaryota; Metazoa; Chordata; Mammalia; Artiodactyla; Camelidae.